UGCUUGAUUCUUCAUCCUUUUCAUUUGCUUUAGGUGCUGGUUCUUCAUACCCCUUUUGGAUGAGCUCCAAGACAUCCAAAGAGGUGAAUAGAGUCUCCAUUUUAACAGCCCAAAAAUCAUAAUUCUCUCUUUCAAACAAAGGAACUUUAACAUUGCUAUAAACUGCGAAAGGGUUGGUUGUGGAAACCAUUUUUUUUGUUGUUUUUGCUGCAGCUGCAAGGAUCUGCAGCUCUGAUACCACUCUGUUGGUGGUAUUCUAGAGGUGGUAUAUAUUAUAAAUUAUAUUGUUGCAUAAUUUAGAGUAGGAUAGUAUUUUUGGGACUGAAUAUUCAUGUAUAUUUCUUAUAUAAAAUGCAUCUCAUACACAUGAAUAUAUAUAACAUGAGUAGUGAUGGUUACAACUAUCAAAGAGUCACCACUACUAGGUGUUUAAUCAAUGAUUAAACACUCCACUAAGCACUAAGUGCUUCCACUAAUAACAACGACAAUUUACUUAUGUAACUCUUCACUUACACUAGAUAAUUUUCACUAUCUUUUAACAUAUUCCACUAAAUAAGCACAUUAACUAACAAAGAGAAUCAGGAUGAAAGGGACCAGUACUUGGUACAAUGGCACUCUCAUGCAGCUGGAGGAUGAUGCUCCAAUUAUCAUGGACCCAGAAUAUCAUAACAAAUGUGUUUAUGACCUUAUGCAAGCUGCUCAUCAGUUGAAGAAGCCAGAUAUGGGAUCUGUCAUGGCAAAACAAGAUGAAGGCGCGGAAUCUGCUGCUGGAGCAUUGCCUGAGGGAAGUGGUGAAAUCAAUUAAGAGGCUGUCUUGGUUGUGGUUUUUAGGUUAAUUAAAAACGAGGGUCUUUUUGUUUGUGUUAUGAGUUGUAUGUUAACUUUCUAUAUUGUAUUUUUAGAGAUCAAAAUCUUGUAAUUGGAAAACUAUAGACAAAGUAAAAAAAAAAAAUUAAAAAAAUGUUGAUCAUUUUGCA
Long non-coding RNA from Trifolium pratense (red clover), 977 nucleotides. RefSeq lists it as uncharacterized. Lineage: Eukaryota; Viridiplantae; Streptophyta; Magnoliopsida; Fabales; Fabaceae. The record is from RefSeq and is a predicted model, not a curated record. The transcript has 2 exons.